RNAcentral lists this microRNA precursor (73 nucleotides) under Bombyx mori (domestic silkworm). RNAcentral describes it as "mir-2774 microRNA precursor family". It matches the Rfam family "mir-2774 microRNA precursor family". Lineage: Eukaryota; Metazoa; Arthropoda; Insecta; Lepidoptera; Bombycidae. The record is from Rfam by way of RNAcentral.
ACAACAUUCGGACCGUUGUGGAUUGCUUACUAAGCAAUAUGACCUGCUCGGUGGAAGAUCUUCCCUUUGUCCU